Long non-coding RNA from Chinchilla lanigera (long-tailed chinchilla), 884 nucleotides. RefSeq lists it as uncharacterized. The transcript has 3 exons. The record is from RefSeq and is a predicted model, not a curated record. NCBI's taxonomy places the organism in Eukaryota, Metazoa, Chordata, Mammalia, Rodentia, Chinchillidae.
CUUUGGUGUGCUUCCGAGGAGUAGAGAAAGGGGCGAAUGGAAAAAGGAAAAUCAGAAUAUUUAAGCUGAGUUCUUUUGUUUGUUUGUUUGGUCUCUCCCUUCCAUUGUCCCCUUAAAUCCCCAGGACAGUUUUGAGUUCUCAUUCUACAAACAGAACGGUAAGGAGCCCACCUGGCCCCCCAGCAGGCUGGCUGUGGGCCUGAGCCAAGCUGUGUGCAGAUCUGAACACAGAUCACAGACUGGAAGAGCGCCAUCCCACCGCGGGUUCGUUAGAGAGAUUUGUGCUGACCCACACUCCCCUGACUUUAAGAAGCCAAAUCUUCAAGUGGAGUGAGAGUCUUAGACUGGCCUUAAAAGCCGGUUUUGCCAUCAAGCUCUAUUGAUCCAUAGAUUCCUCCAGGACUCGCUGAUACCCUUCAGCGCCUGGAAUCCGGGUCGCAGCACACCCCUUGUCUCGACCCCCUCCUGGCCCCUGCCAUGGGAGGAAGCCAGCAGGAAGGACGCAGGGCGUUCUAGAGAGCAGAAAACAAACCUAGCAACUCAAGUAAUGAGUAACUUUCUCACUGCCAGACAUAAGUGGUGGCGCUGGAAAGCAAACGUGAUUGUGUCCAAGUUGAGAACCGUGAUUAACCUCAGCCUGAGCAGUGUCUUCCCUAAAAAGGAGCUUCCAGGUUCGGUUGUUGAUUAACCACUGAAAACUGAGAUUAUUCUAGAAAAUCACCGCCUCCCUGCCACCGAGCCCACGCAGCACUGGCUGAAGUAUAAGGGGUUAUUACUGUUGCCAUUUUUCCAGCCCCCAAGGGCCAGGUCUUAGGAGCAGCGGGAAUCCUUCGGACCGUGAGCUGAUUCUUUUUUAGCACACGCAAUAAAAACUGACCAAACCA